GUGGGGUGAAAAACGGAAAAGGAGGAGUCAAGAAGUGCAAGAAAAGUCUCCCUUUACCCAUGGUGUUUCGGAAAAAUGGAAACCCUCCAUAUUAAAAAAAGAAAAGAAAAGAAUGAAAAAGAAAAAUUGUGGAAUAAAAGUACAAAAGAAAUUGGGUUUCCAAGCAAUCCAUGGAGGUGAAUAAUAAGAUGACUUAGAAGCACUAGCAAAAUAAUUGAUAAAGGAAAAGAAGGGC
Molecule: long non-coding RNA, 235 nt
Filed under: Solanum tuberosum (potato)
Lineage: Eukaryota; Viridiplantae; Streptophyta; Magnoliopsida; Solanales; Solanaceae
Description: long non-coding RNA (STUB_LNC003673)
Source: RNAcentral